UACGUAGGGGGCAAGCGUUAUCCGGAAUUACUGGGUGUAAAGGGUGCGUAGGCGGCACGCCAAGUCAGUUGUGAAACCCGUAGGCUCAACCUACGGCUUGCAAUUGAAACUGGCGAGCUAGAGUACAGGAGAGGAAAGCGGAAUUCCUAGUGUAGCGGUGAAAUGCGUAGAUAUUAGGAAGAACGCCGGUGGCGAAGGCGGCUUUCUGGACUGAAACUGACGCUGAGGCACGAAAGCGUGGGGAGCAAACAGG
This 253-nucleotide ribosomal RNA is filed under the name uncultured bacterium. Its description in RNAcentral is "partial 16S ribosomal RNA". It matches the Rfam family "Bacterial small subunit ribosomal RNA", at positions 524 to 776 of the family's 1533-position model. The record is from RNAcentral.